CUUCAUGGGUAGUGUUAUGGUUGAUAGUUUGGUUUAUGGGGCGUGAGUAAUAGUGUUUCGGUGGUUUGGUGCUGUUGGUUUGUGUUCGUAGGGAAAUAAGAGAAGAUCUUGUGUAGUGUUAAUCGCGCAUGGUUACAUUGCUAGUUGAGAGAAUGUUGGGCGCGGGUGGUUUGCGGUGCUGGCUCAUGGAGGGUCAAAGAUUGCUAGCUACCAUGGUUUUCUUUUAGUGAAAGAGAAGGUGUUUUUCUAUCAUGAGAGUAAGAAGGAAAUUAAGAAGUAGAAGAAAAAGAAAAAUUAAGUUUUCUCUUCACUCAUUUAUUUGGAUAGAUAGAUUAGUUUAGGGAGAUUUUUGAUCCUAUUGUUAUUUUUUUCUUUCUAAUUUGUUACAAAUUUGAUUCUCUUUAACAAACCCUUCUCUUUAACGAAGUUUGGGCAGAAGGAAACUCCAAGUACUUAAGUGAUGAGAUUGACAAGCUUCUUAAUUAGUGUAAAAAGUGUAUCUAUUGAUCUUAGCAUUACCAAGUAGGUUAUUACUCUCUGAAUUCAUUCUUUUAUAUGCUGCCACAUGAAAAAGGAUGAAUAUGAAGAAGCAACUUUUUAGUAAAGUUUAUGAGGUAGAUAUGUUAAGAAUAGUCUCACAUCGGAUAAUUCAUGAACAUGAUAAGUGCUUAUAUAGCUGGGUAGAUCACCCCCUUAUGAAUCGGUUUUUAAGGGGACCUUUCGGAUGCCUUGGCUGCACUAUAAAAUUUAAUAUGGUAUCAGAGCCAUCUUCUACUUCUGUCCGGUGGGUGCCGUCAACCCUGGCCCUUGAUACAACAACUGUAUUAUGUUGGUAAAUGGCGAAAAUCGUUAAAUUGCUUUCGCAGUUCAAGUAAAAACAACAACGACGACAAUGGAAUCAGAAACAUGGGAUUUUGAAAAAAAUUCAAAAGAUGCUCUUUGUAUAUAAUCCAUUAAUCUCCAAGUUUUAUAAUUCUGUGUAUUUGUGGUUAGGCAUUUGCAUGCCUUCUUUACUUUUGCUUUUUCUGUUUUGCUAUUUUUAUAUCUAGCAGGUUAUUAAAACAUGCAUGCUGAUAUAUCCGUCUUGUUAGUGUUUCUUUAUGAGAAUCCCUAUUAUCUCUUUCAUUUUAGCAGUUGAUUUAUUAAUUCUUUACAUGUAAUGAUGGGUAGUAUUCUAUUUCAUCUUUUUUUGCACUGGUCUUAGUAGUCGACCUGCAUCUAGACAGUAGUGUUGGACAAAAUAAUGUAAUAUAUAGUGACUGUACAUCGUCCAGGAUCACUAUCCUGUUACUACAAGUCAGAUCCAAAGGGACAAUACUUGACUUGCUGUUAAAUAUUUAUGUCAUUAGACUCAAUAUUUGAAAGGUUGUAUGGGGGAACGGUAUCUUGGGACUACAGGUCAGACCAAGAGACAGUUCAUGCAUGUAUUUAUUUGGUGGGAUUUAAUGCUUGAAGGAUUAUACACCAUCCAUAUUAAUAUCUAAUAUUACACAAAUACUGAAAGGACAA
This is a long non-coding RNA of Glycine soja, 1509 nucleotides long. RefSeq lists it as uncharacterized. NCBI's taxonomy places the organism in Eukaryota, Viridiplantae, Streptophyta, Magnoliopsida, Fabales, Fabaceae. The record is from RefSeq and is a predicted model, not a curated record. The transcript has 3 exons.